Molecule: ribosomal RNA, 305 nt
Filed under: uncultured bacterium
Lineage: Bacteria
Description: bacterial SSU rRNA
Rfam family: Bacterial small subunit ribosomal RNA
Source: RNAcentral
UUUCCCUACGGGAGGCAGCAGUGGGGGAUAUUGCACAAUGGGGGAAACCCUGAUGCAGCGACGCCGCGUGAGUGAAGAAGUAUUUCGGUAUGUAAAGCUCUAUCAGCAGGGAAGAAAAUGACAGUACCUGACCAAGAAGCCCCGGCUAACUACGUGCCAGCAGCCGCGGCAAUACGUAGGGGGCAAGCGUUAUCCGGAUUUACUGGGCGUAAAGGGGGCGCAGACGGCGAUGCAAGCCAGGAGUGAAAGCCCGGUGCCCAACCCCGGGACUGCUCUUGGAACUGCGUGGCUGGAGUGCAGGAGGG